UACGGAGGGAGCUAGCGUUGUUCGGAAUUACUGGGCGUAAAGCGCACGUAGGCGGCUACUCAAGUCGGGGGUGAAAGCCCGGGGCUCAACCCCGGAACUGCCCUCGAAACUAGGUAGCUAGAAUCUUGGAGAGGUCAGUGGAAUUCCGAGUGUAGAGGUGAAAUUCGUAGAUAUUCGGAAGAACACCAGUGGCGAAGGCGACUGACUGGACAAGUAUUGACGCUGAGGUGCGAAGCGUGGGGAGCAAAACAGG
Molecule: ribosomal RNA, 253 nt
Filed under: uncultured bacterium
Lineage: Bacteria
Description: partial 16S ribosomal RNA
Rfam family: Bacterial small subunit ribosomal RNA
Source: RNAcentral